This 74-nucleotide transfer RNA is filed under the name Triticum aestivum (bread wheat). It matches the Rfam family "tRNA". Rfam says of the family: Transfer RNA (tRNA) molecules are approximately 80 nucleotides in length. Their secondary structure includes four short double-helical elements and three loops (D, anti-codon, and T loops). Further hydrogen bonds mediate the characteristic L-shaped molecular structure. tRNAs have two regions of fundamental functional importance: the anti-codon, which is responsible for specific mRNA codon recognition, and the 3' end, to which the tRNAs corresponding amino acid is attached (by aminoacyl-tRNA synthetases). tRNAs cope with the degeneracy of the genetic code in two manners: having more than one tRNA (with a specific anti-codon) for a particular amino acid; and 'wobble' base-pairing, i.e. permitting non-standard base-pairing at the 3rd anti-codon position. RNAcentral also lists the same sequence under 3 other names. The record is from Rfam by way of RNAcentral. Lineage: Eukaryota; Viridiplantae; Streptophyta; Magnoliopsida; Poales; Poaceae.
AGCGGGGUAGAGGAAUUGGUCAACUCAUCAGGCUCAUGACCUGAAGACUGCAGGUUCAAAUCCUGUCCCCGCCU